RNAcentral lists this ribosomal RNA (459 nucleotides) under uncultured bacterium. RNAcentral describes it as "partial 16S ribosomal RNA". It matches the Rfam family "Bacterial small subunit ribosomal RNA", at positions 338 to 795 of the family's 1533-position model. The record is from RNAcentral.
CCUACGGGAGGCAGCAGUGAGGAAUAUUGGUCAAUGGUCGGGAGACUGAACCAGCCAAGCCGCGUGAGGGAGGAAGGUACAGAGUAUCGUAAACCUCUUUUGUCAGGGAACAAAGGCGGGGACGUGUCCCCGGAUGAGUGUACCUGAAGAAAAAGCAUCGGCUAACUCCGUGCCAGCAGCCGCGGUAAUACGGAGGAUGCGAGCGUUAUCCGGAUUUAUUGGGUUGAAAGGGUGCGCAGGCGGUCUGUUAAGUCAGAGGUAAAAGCCCGGGGCUCAACCCCGGCCCGCCGUUGAAACUGGCAGUCUCGAGUUGGAGAGAAGUAUGCGGAAUGCGCGGUGUAGCGGUGAAAUGCAUAGAUAUCGCGCAGAACUCCGAUUGCGAAGGCAGCAUGCCGGCUCCACACUGACGCUGAGGCACGAAAGCGUGGGUAUCGAACAGGAUUAGAUACCCCUGUAGUC